Molecule: ribosomal RNA, 253 nt
Filed under: uncultured prokaryote
Description: partial 16S ribosomal RNA
Rfam family: Bacterial small subunit ribosomal RNA
Source: RNAcentral
ACGAACCGUGCGAACGUUGUUCGGAAUCACUGGGCUUAAAGGGCGCGUAGGCGGACGACCAAGUCAGGGGUGAAAGCCCCCAGCUCAACUGGGGAAGUGCCUUUGAUACUGGUUGUCUCGAGGGAGGUAGGGGCGUGCGGAACUUCCGGUGGAGCGGUGAAAUGCGUGGAUAUCGGAAGGAACGCCGGUGGCGAAAGCGGCGCGCUGGACCUCUUCUGACGCUGAGGCGCGAAAGCUAGGGGAGCAAACGGGG